Molecule: long non-coding RNA, 1099 nt
Filed under: Solanum lycopersicum (tomato)
Lineage: Eukaryota; Viridiplantae; Streptophyta; Magnoliopsida; Solanales; Solanaceae
Description: partial TCONS_00168553
Source: RNAcentral
AAACCACACGGUACUCAGCAAGUAAAACGUCUAAACACAAGCUAAGGGGAUAAAAUACGGGUACUCCUACCACCCCCAACAAAACCUCCACAACUACAACCUGCAUUAAAAUCAACCCAACCUAACAGCUCACAGUUUACAUAGCACGUAGCUCAACAACAACACUUAGACAAAUUACAUAUCCUCAACAACAACACUUCAACAAAUUACAUAUCCUCAACAAGAAUACUUCAACAAAUUUCAUAUCCGCAAUAAGAAGCUCAAUAUUAAUCAAUCACAAGUUCCGCAGAAAGGCAAUCAGAAGAUCAGCAAAAUACGAUAUCAAGUUCACUAAUGAGAAGUAUGUGCAAUGCAAUGGAAUGCAAUGUCAAGUAUAAUGAUGCAUGUCUGACCUAGUGAUACACACCCGCUGUCUCUCAGUUCGGGACCCAUGGGGGACAUAUCUGUCCAUGCAUCUGUCGCGGCGCACGAUACGAUGCUCGAUAAAAGUAACCAUCGCGGCGCGCGAUACGUCCCUCGAAAUAUAGUAUCCAUCGCGGCGCGCGAUACGUCCCUCGAAAUGGUACAUCCUCUUAAGUACCCAUUCUUUCUUAAUGCACAUAACACUUGUCACAACAAAUGCCUCAGAAUAAUGCAGAUGACAAGUUCACACAUAUAAUAAGGAGAUGACCAUUUUCAUAACAUCGCACAGUUCACAACCACACAAACAUGAAGUUACAUCAACAAUGAUUCAACAAGCCUUCAACCCUUUCUCAACACAACAGACAUAAACAAGUAAUCACAUUACCUUUUGUUAUCCCCAUUCUUUUUAUCAUUAAAAUAAAUCAAUAUGGACAAGUCAACCCAUCACCAAUCCCGUUACUCCCAACAUAUACCACAAGGACAUAAACAAUUAAUCACAUUGUCUUUUGUUAUCCCCAUUCUUUUCAUUAUUAAAAUAAAUCAAUGUGGACAAGUCAACCCAUCACCAAUCCCGUUACUCCCAACAUAUACCACAAGGACAUACACGCAUUUCAUACACUUAACAAGAAUUUAGAAAUCCACUUGCCUCAAUUUAUCGAAAACUCACUCCAUGACUUGAGCCUUUAAUUUUCGUUGA